Molecule: ribosomal RNA, 253 nt
Filed under: uncultured bacterium
Lineage: Bacteria
Description: partial 16S ribosomal RNA
Rfam family: Bacterial small subunit ribosomal RNA
Source: RNAcentral
UACGGGGGGAGCAAGCGUUGUUCGGAAUCACUGGGCGUAAAGGGCGUACAGGCGGUUCGGUAAGUGGGAUGUGAAAUCCCUCGGCUCACCCGAGGACCUGCAUCCCAUACUGCUGAGCUUGAGUACAGGAGAGGGUGGGGGAAUUCCAGGUGUAGCGGUGAAAUGCGUAGAUAUCUGGAGGAACACCGGUGGCGAAGGCGCCCACCUGGCCUGCUACUGACGCUGACGCGCGAAAGCUAGGGGAGCAAACGGG